This is a long non-coding RNA of Episyrphus balteatus (marmalade hoverfly), 1882 nucleotides long. RefSeq lists it as uncharacterized. The transcript has 2 exons. The record is from RefSeq and is a predicted model, not a curated record. Lineage: Eukaryota; Metazoa; Arthropoda; Insecta; Diptera; Syrphidae.
UAAAAAUAUAGAAGAAUUUUUUUUAAAUGGAGAGCCAGCGUACCUACACUAUCAUUUUCUGUUUUUCAGUUUUUGUAAGAGAUAAAACAACUAAUAGUUUUUUUUCGUGAUAAAAUCUUACAGAUGAUGAUUUUUUGGGAAACGGAUGUCAUGUAGAACUAAUUUAUGGCUUUACUGGAAAACCAACUCUUGUUAUUGGUGGAUAUUCUUAUUGUCGCAACAGAAUAAGUGGAUCAACAACAUAUUGGGUUUGCUCCAAAAAUCCUAAGCCCAAUUGUUGCAAGGUACGAAUUAUAACAUCCAAUGGAAUAAAUGAUGCGAGGACAAGUAAAAAAUGCAGGCACAAUCAUCCACCAGAUCAACGAUUAUCUACCAAAGUAAGAGUUCGGAAUGACUUACUUAUGAAGUAGUACACACAAAAUAUAAAUAUAUAAAAAAAUAAGUAUUUUUGUAAAAAUAUCUAAAAAAAAAAAAUGGCCUCAUAAGUCAACAUAUACCUAUCUUAAAUGAGAAAAAACUUUAACCCUCUUGGGGAGCCAUCUAGCGUCAAAAUAAAAAUCUGAAAAAAUUGGAGUAUUUUUUUUUUUAUUUUUUUGAAACAGUUUUUCCUUGACUUUCGAAAAAGCCUUAACGAACGUUCUAAUGUACAUGAUGUACCUUCAAUACAUUUUGAGGUGUUGAUACAUUACAUUUUAUUCUUGAGACGGGCCCGCCGACUGAUAAAUUCUUGGCAAACUCUCAAAGGCUGAGAAAUGUUGUUCAAAGCAAUUCAUUUUAAUUUACUAUUUAAUAUAUUCGAACUUAACACGACAAAUGGCUAUUUGCACAGCUUUGCAGAACAUGGAAUGCAACUUGGCAAAACUUUGCAGCGCUAAUGCAAUAGAAAGUUUUCACUUUAAAAUUAGCACCCUUUUCCAAAUUCAAUUCAUACCUUUGCAAACCAAAUUCAUCCUUUUGCAAUUCAGAGUUAUUCUGGUAAACUAAUAUUCUGGAUAGAAAAAGGAUGAACUUUACGUAAAAGAUGUACUUUAAAAAAAAAAAGUCACUCCUCGUCUGAGAUUUUUGCUAUCGAAUUUUCUAACCAGUUCCGAAAGUUUUUUUUUUUUCUCUUUUUACAGAUAUCGAUUUUUAGGCGAAGAGAUUUCAUUAAAAUAUGAUUCGUGCAUUUCAAAGAUACUUGAAUCUAAUUAUUGAUGGAUUUUCUUUCUUUUGUAACAAAAGUAAAGAAUGUGAAGCUUUUUGGAGGUGGACCAGGUAUAUCUACUAAAUAAAGAAUAGAAUCCAUAUUGUCUGAUAAAGCCAGAACUAUAAUUGACGGAUGCGUCGGAUGAAACGGAGGGUAACAGCGCUCGCAACCGCACUCGACGGAUGAAAACUUAUCGAAAAUACAAAGAAAACAACAACAAUUGAAAAUAGCUUCCGACUCCAUCCGCCAAUUAUGGGUCUGGCUUAAAUCCAGAAAUAUGUAUCUACAAACACCGAGUAGUAAAUAAAAUAAAAUAAAAUAUUUUUAUUAAAGUGAACCUUAAUUUGUUUAAUUUAAACUAUUGGAAAUUUAAAAAAAGUAACUGCUGAUCUCGAUUUAUGGGCAAAGCGAUUUGAUGUGAAACUUAUUCGAGGCAAUAAAGGAAAACCAAAAUUAAUUCUAGGCGAAUUUUCAUAUUUUCGCAAUAACACUAAAGGAUGCAAAACAUAUUGGCUAUGUUCAAAGAAUCGUUACAAUCGUUGUAAAGCGAGAUUAAUAACAUCGAGUCAGACGGGUGAACUAAUCAUCAAAAAUCAGAGCCACAAUCAUCUACCAGAUUCAGAGUUCGAGAAGACAUCUCAUCCCGAAAGGAAUGAAAGAAGUUUUAUAAAAGUUGAAAAGUAUUAAAAUAAAGAA